RNAcentral lists this ribosomal RNA (253 nucleotides) under uncultured bacterium. Its description in RNAcentral is "partial 16S ribosomal RNA". It matches the Rfam family "Bacterial small subunit ribosomal RNA", at positions 524 to 776 of the family's 1533-position model. The record is from RNAcentral.
UACGGGGGGAGCGAACGUUGUUCGGAAUUACUGGGCGUAAAGCGUGCGCAGGCGGUUAUGUAAGACAGGUGUGAAAUCCCCGGGCUUAACCUGGGAACUGCAUUUGUGACUGCAUAGCUAGAGUACGGUAGAGGGGGAUGGAAUUCCGCGUGUAGCAGUGAAAUGCGUAGAUAUGCGGAGGAACACCGAUGGCGAAGGCAAUCCCCUGGACCUGUACUGACGCUCAUGCACGAAAGCGUGGGGAGCAAACAGG